GAGAGGCUAGCGUGCAGCUAGACUGCGUGGUGGAGAGAGAAGGGCCUGGCUAAGGACAUUUCUGUGUUGCCAUGAAGUGCUGGUGUUGUCAGGACAUGAAAGGGGAAUAUUUGAGACCUGAUCCAGGGUCCCACAUGGCAUUUAACUGUCCUGUCUCCUUAGUGUCCUCCAAUCUCUGACAGAUCCACAGUCUUUGUCUCUCAUGCCCUUGGCACUUUUGAAGAGUCCUUGUCAGAGAGGAAAGGAAAAGAAGAUGGAGACAAUAAGGAAGGGAGUUUCAUGGGGCAAUUGAAGAAUACUCCAGGGGAACUCUGGACCAAGAUGACAAUGUAAGAAUCUCCUGAAUUUUCCUCCUCCGAUGGAGACACUGAAUGUAAAACUACAUACAGAGCAAUUUCCUUUCAGAGAAAUCCAGAAACUAGUUGAGUGACUCCUAUACAUUGGGCGACUGAGAAAAUACCCACAUCAAAACAAGCAGGAAAGGCUGGAAACACUCUCAUCAUAACCCUUACCCCUGGCACAGUGCCAUACAAUUGGGAGGGAAACCCCAACUCCCAGCUUCUCCCUGAAGAGUGAGGCCAGGCUGACUGACGAGGUUCAUCUCCUACACAAGACUGAGUGGCUGUUUUAUCUAAUCUGCAGAAACCAACAUAGAGAGUCAAGGAAAAUGAAGAAACAAGGGAAUAUGUUCCAAACCAAAGAAUACAAUUAAGCCACAGAAAAUGACCUUAAUUAAAUGGAGAUAAGUUAUUUACCUGAUAAAGAUUUCAAAAUAAUGAUCAUAAAGAUGCUUACUGAGGUUAGAGAACAAUGCGUUAACAAAGUGAGAAUUUCAAAAAAGUGAUAGAAAAUAUGAAAAAGUACCAAACAGAAACUGUAGAGUUAAACAAUACAAUAACUGGACUGAAAAAUUCAAUAAAGGCUUUCAACAACAGGCUAGAUCAAGUGGAAGAAAGGAUCAGCGAACUUGAAGACAGGGCAGUGGAAUUCAUCCAAUCAGAGGAGCAAAAAGAAAAAAGAAUGAGAAAGAGUGAGGACAGCUUAAGGGACUUAGGGGACACCAUCAAGUGGACCAAUAUAUGCAUCAUAUAGGGGUCCCAGAAGAAGACAAGAAGAGAAAGGGGCAGAAAGCUUAUUAAAAGAAAUAAUGGUUGAAAACUUCCCUAACCUGGGGAAAUAAACAGACAUCCAGAUCCAGGAAGCCUACUGAGCACCAAAUAUGAUGAAACUAAAGAAGCCACACCAAGAUACAUGUCAUUAAAUUGUCAAAAGUUAAAGACAAAGGGAGACUCUUGAAAGCAGCAAGUGAAAAGCAAUUUGUAAUGUACAAGGGAACGCCCAUAAGACUAUCAGUAGAUUUUUUAGCAGAAACCUUGCAGGCCAGAAGGGAGUUGGAUGAUAGAUUCAAAGAAAAAAAGUGUCAAUCAAGAACAUUCUACCCAACAAAGUUUUUCUUCAGAAUUAAAGAAGAGACGAGGAGCUUUCCAGAAAGCAAAAGCUGAAGGAGUCCAUCACCACUAGACUAGCCUUACAAGAAAUGUUAAAGGUAGUUCUUCAAGCUGAAAUGAAAAGAUGCUAAGUCAUAACAUGAAAACAUAUGAAAGUAUUAAACUCAUUGGUAAAGGUAAAUAUGUAGUUAAAUCCAGAAUACUCUAAUGAUGUAAUGGUGGUGGGUAAAUCACUUACAACUCUUGUAUAAAGGUUAAAAGAGAAAAGUAUUAAAAAUAACGAUAGCUAUAAUAAUUUGUUAGUGGAUACACAAUAUAAAAAGAUAUCAAUUGUGACAUCAAAAGCAUAAAAUGUGGGGAGGAGAGUGUAAAAAUGUAGAGCUUUUUAUGUGUUGAAAAUUAAGCUGUUAUUGGCUUAAUAUAGACUGUUAUAACUAAAAGAUGUUUUAUGUAAACCUUAUGGUAACCACAAAGCAAAAACCUAUAGCAAAUAUACAAAGGAUAAAGAGAAAGGAAUCAAAACCUACUACUAGAGAAAAUCACCAAAUUACAAAGGAAGAGAGGAACAAAGGAACUACAGAACAGCCAGAAAAUAAUUAACAAAAUGUCAAUAGUAAGUCCUAAAAUAAUUUCUUUAAAUGUAUUUGGAUUAAAUUCUCCAAUCAAAAGAGACAGAGUUGCUGAGUGGCUAAAAACACAAGAUCCAACUAUAUGCUGCCUAUAAGAGAUUCCCUUCAGCUUUUGUUUUUUGAGGAAGAUUGGCCCUGAGCUAACAUCUGU
Equus caballus (horse) is the source of this 2228-nucleotide non-coding RNA. NCBI's taxonomy places the organism in Eukaryota, Metazoa, Chordata, Mammalia, Perissodactyla, Equidae. The record is from RefSeq and is a predicted model, not a curated record.